UAGCUUAAAGUGGUAGAGCGUAUGCUUAGCAUGCAUGAGGUCCUGGGCUCAAUCCCCAG
RNAcentral lists this transfer RNA (59 nucleotides) under Camelus bactrianus (Bactrian camel). It matches the Rfam family "tRNA", at positions 8 to 63 of the family's 71-position model. From Rfam's summary of the family: Transfer RNA (tRNA) molecules are approximately 80 nucleotides in length. Their secondary structure includes four short double-helical elements and three loops (D, anti-codon, and T loops). The record is from Rfam by way of RNAcentral. RNAcentral also lists the same sequence under 2 other names. Lineage: Eukaryota; Metazoa; Chordata; Mammalia; Artiodactyla; Camelidae.